Molecule: ribosomal RNA, 434 nt
Filed under: uncultured bacterium
Lineage: Bacteria
Description: partial 16S ribosomal RNA
Rfam family: Bacterial small subunit ribosomal RNA
Source: RNAcentral
AGCGAACGCUGGCGGCAGGCCUAACACAUGCAAGUCGAACGAACCUUUCGGGGUUAGUGGCGGACGGGUGAGUAACACGUGGGAACGUGCCUUUAGGUUCGGAAUAAUUCAGGGAAACUUGUGCUAAUACCGAAUGUGCUCUUCGGGGGAAAGAUUUAUCGCCUUUAGAGCGGCCCGCGUCUGUUUAGCUAGUUGGGUGAGGUAAUGGCUCACCAAGGCGACGAUCAGUAGCUGGUCUGAGAGGAUGAUCAGCCACAUUGGGACUGAGACACGGCGCAAACUCCUACGGGAGGCAGCAGAGGGUAAUCUUGCGCAAUGGGCGAAAGCCUGACGCAGCCAUGCCGCGUGAAUGAUGAAGGUCUUAGGAUUGUAAAAUUCUUUCACCGGGGACGAUAAUGACGGUACCCGGAGAAGAAGCCCCGGCUAACUUCGUG